CUCUUCUCCACUUUCUCUUUUUAAGCUCUCAUAUUCCCUCUCUCCAUUUUUUUUACACCAAACUUCAGAGAUCUAACAAGUAAUUUUUUUUUAUUCUUUUGUUUCUUCCAAUAAUCUUUUGGGGAGGAAUCAAGCUCUCGAGGUCAUGAUUCUUUUUGGGCUUGCGUACUUAGAUUGAUAAUGUGCUAGCCUUCGGCUCUUUUCCUUCGUUUCCACUUUUUAAACCUAGACUCUAGUCUGAUAAACUCGUUGAUUUUACGAGCCAGAGGGAAUAUUGUUAAUCUAGUUUGGGAUGUUUCUGAGACAAGUGAUUUUGCAGGAGCAGAGAAUAAGAUCGAAACAAAUUGAAUUUGCAGGAGCAGAGAACAAGAUCUGAACAGAUUUUCUCUUUAUAUUUCCUGAAAAUUAUCAUGUGUUCUGAUUAUAUGACUUUUUUUGAAGCAUUCAUCUUAUGAUGCAUCAUGUAUUUAUUUUAUUUUUUGAUGAAUGAUAUACCAAGUAUACAUAUUAAAUUUAUUAUAAAAUAAAUCAACAAAUUGAGAAUUUUGUCCUCGGCA
This is a long non-coding RNA of Papaver somniferum (opium poppy), 557 nucleotides long. RefSeq lists it as uncharacterized. The transcript is spliced from 3 exons. NCBI's taxonomy places the organism in Eukaryota, Viridiplantae, Streptophyta, Magnoliopsida, Ranunculales, Papaveraceae. The record is from RefSeq and is a predicted model, not a curated record.